UACGGAAGGCAGCAGUGGGGAAUAUUGCACAAUGGGCGAAAGCCUGAUGCAGCUAUGCCGCGUGUAUGAAGAAGGCCUUAGGGUUGUAAAGUACUUUCAUCGGGGAGGAAAAAACAAAACUAAUAAUUUUAUUUCUUGACGUUACCCGAAAAAGAAGCACCGGCUAACUCCGUGCCAGCAGCCGCGGUAAUACGGAGGGUGCUAGCGUUAAUCAGAAUUACUGGGCGUAAAGAGCACGUAGGUGGUUUUUUUAAAGUCAGAUGUGAAAUCCCUGGGCUUAACCUAGGAACUGCAUUUUGAAACUGAAAUACUAGAGUAUCGUAGAGGGAGGUAGAAUUCUAGGUGUAGCGGUGAAAUGCGUAGAUAUCUGGAGGAAUACCUGUGGCGAAAGCGGCCUCCUAAACGAAUACUGACACUGAGGUGCGAAAAGCGUGGGGAGCAAAACAGGGAAUUAGAUACC
This 460-nucleotide ribosomal RNA is filed under the name uncultured bacterium. Its description in RNAcentral is "bacterial SSU rRNA". It matches the Rfam family "Bacterial small subunit ribosomal RNA", at positions 340 to 786 of the family's 1533-position model. The record is from RNAcentral.